ACGGGUGAGUAACGUCUGGGAAACUGCCCGAUGGAGGGGGAUAACUACUGGAAACGGUAGCUAAUACCGCAUAACGUCGCAAGACCAAAGUGGGGGACCUUCGGGCCUCACACCAUCGGAUGUGCCCAGAUGGGAUUAGCUAGUAGGUGGGGUAAUGGCUCACCUAGGCGACGAUCCCUAGCUGGUCUGAGAGGAUGACCAGCCACACUGGAACUGAGACACGGUCCAGACUCCUACGGGAGGCAGCAGUGGGGAAUAUUGCACAAUGGGCGCAAGCCUGAUGCAGCCAUGCCGCGUGUAUGAAGAAGGCCUUCGGGUUGUAAAGUACUUUCAGCGGGGAGGAAGGCGGUGAAGUUAAUAGCUUCACCGAUUGACGUUACCCGCAGAAGAAGCACCGGCUAACUCCGUGCCAGCAGCCGCGGUAAUACGGAGGGUGCAAGCGUUAAUCGGAAUUACUGGGCGUAAAGCGCACGCAGGCGGUCUGUCAAGUCGGAUGUGAAAUCCCCGGGCUUAACCUGGGAACUGCAUUCGAAACUGGCAGGCUGGAGUCUUGUAGAGGGGGGUAGAAUUCCAGGUGUAGCGG
Molecule: ribosomal RNA, 583 nt
Filed under: uncultured bacterium
Lineage: Bacteria
Description: bacterial SSU rRNA
Rfam family: Bacterial small subunit ribosomal RNA
Source: RNAcentral